Priapulus caudatus is the source of this 257-nucleotide long non-coding RNA. RefSeq lists it as uncharacterized. The record is from RefSeq and is a predicted model, not a curated record. The transcript is spliced from 3 exons. Lineage: Eukaryota; Metazoa; Priapulida; Priapulimorpha; Priapulimorphida; Priapulidae.
UCCUCGCGGUCGCAUCGAGGUCGCUAUGAUUCCAGAAGGUAUCUCACACUUGAGUCAAGCAGUGGCUUUAGUAACACCGACUCGGAUAGCUACCACGUGACCGUUCUCUAUGGAAGCAAAGAGAAUCUGCACAAGCCCGAUCAAAACGAAGAGAAACGUUUAUUAAAUGAUCUGUCCGAGUUGGGAUUCGUCACAGGAGUGGAGGCGGACGACAGGAAAUUUAAGUAUGUAGCCCGCCGCGUAUCGUUUCAUCUGUC